GUCUCGGUAGUCGAGGUAGAACGGCGUUGGCGUUUCGACCUCUAGGCGGUGGAUCGGGUCCAUCUUGAGCUGCC
This 74-nucleotide transfer RNA is filed under the name Mycobacteroides abscessus subsp. abscessus. Its description in RNAcentral is "tRNA-Arg(tcg)". The record is from RNAcentral. Lineage: Bacteria; Bacillati; Actinomycetota; Actinomycetes; Mycobacteriales; Mycobacteriaceae. RNAcentral also lists the same sequence under 1 other name.